RNAcentral lists this ribosomal RNA (482 nucleotides) under uncultured bacterium. RNAcentral's name for it is "bacterial SSU rRNA". It matches the Rfam family "Bacterial small subunit ribosomal RNA", at positions 28 to 507 of the family's 1533-position model. The record is from RNAcentral.
GAUGACGGCUAGCGCCAGGCUUAACACAUGCAAGUCGAGGGGUAACAUAAGUGCUUGCACUUGAUGACGACCGGCGCACGGGUGCGUAACGCGUAUAGAAUCUACCUUAUACUAGGGGAUAGCCUUUGGAAACGAAGAUUAAUACCCUAUAGUAAGUAUUUAUGGCAUCAUUUAUACUUUAAAGGUUACGAUAUAAGAUGACUAUGCGUCCUAUUAGUUUGUUGGUGAGGUAACGGCUCACCAAGACUUCGAUAGGUAGGGGCCCUGAGAGGGGGAUCCCCCACACUGGUACUGAGACACGGACCAGACUCCUACGGGAGGCAGCAGUGAGGAAUAUUGGACAAUGGAGGAAACUCUGAUCCAGCCAUGCCGCGUGCAGGAUGACGGCCCUAUGGGUUGUAAACUGCUUUUAUGUAGGAAGAAACACUCUCACGUGUGAGAGCUUGACGGUACUACAAGAAUAAGGACCGGCUAACUCCGUG